GACAAAAGUUAGUGCACAGAAGUAAUUGUGGCCAGAGACAGAGGAGUGAGAAUAUGUGAGAGAAACUGUCCUGGAGAUAUCAAAAUCAGUAAAGGGAGAUGGGGAGAGAGGAGGUGCUCCAGGUACCAGAACUGGGAUUCCCUUGCAGGCCAUGGUGAGGCAGCUGUGACCCUGCAGCCCAUGGAGGAUCACAGGGGAGCAGAGAUCCACCUGCAGUCCCUGGAGGACCCCACAGCAGAGCAGGUGGAUGCCCAAAAGAGGCUGUGACCCUGUGGGAAGCUCACCCUAGAGCAUGUUCCUGCCAGGACCUGUAGGUGCAUGGAGAGAAGAGCCCAUGCUAGAUCAGGUUUGCUGGCAGCGCUUGUAAUCCCAUGGGGGAUACAUGCUGGAACAGUUUGUUCCUGUUGUAAAAAAAGGACCCACACUGAAACAGUUCAUGGAGAACUGUGGCCUGUGGGAAGGAUUUCUCUCCCUGAGAAGGAAGCAGCAGCAGAAGUAAUGUGAUGAAGUGACCAUAAUGAUAACCACCUGGCCCCAUACACCACUGCUGGGGAGGAGGUAAAGAUACGGGAACAAAGUUAAUCCCUGGAAGGAGGGAGAAAAAAAAGUGGGGAAAAUGUGUUUUUAAAAUUUGCUUUUAAAAUACGUUUUAGUUCUCAUUAUCAUACUUAGAUUUAGACUUUUGUUGAUUUCUCCAAGCUGGGUUUGUCUUGCCUGUGACAGUGACAGAUCUCUCCCCAUCUUUAACUCAUGAGAUUUCAUUCUAUUUUCCCUCCCCUGUCCAGUUGAGCAGGGAAGGGAUAGAGCAGCUCUGGAGGGCAACCGGAAUCCAGACAAUGUCAAUGGCCAUUCUUUCUUGUCCUUUUCCUAUUCAUCUCAAAAAAAGUGAGAAGUUCCUCCUUCUUAAUAACUCCCCAUUCAGUGAAGCAUUUGGAUUAUGUCAUCUCAGUGUUCCCUUCUGAGAUCCUUAGCCUCCCCCUCUGUCACAUGCCCCUGGAAACAUGUUGGUUACCUUCUUCUGGAUAUUUUCUAUCUUCUAAGUAUUCCUUGCAUACCUAGGAACCCAUAUUGGACACAGUGUUGCAGACGGGGCCUCGCAAAUGGCAAGUAAAUAAUAAUCGUCUGCCUUCACCCCCUGUGAUGCUGAUGUGGCACAGUAUAGGUGUUAGUCUUAAUUUCCCCAGAGUUGCAGUCUUGACCCUCGUUUCACUUUUUAACCGGGACCCGCAGGUUUUUUUUGCAAAGCCACUAUCUCAUUAGUCAGUCCUCAACCUCUACCAUUGUUAGGGGGCUUUUGCCCUGGGUGCAAGGCUUUGUCCUGCCAGGACAUUCUCCAGCUUGUUCAAAGUGUCCUCUGGUAUGUCAGACACCCCCUGGUUUCAGCCACUCAUCUCAUCAUAAAAGACCAUGGCAUGGGCUAUACAAAAUGUGCCUUUCUGCCUUCCCCCUCUCCAAUUUUAGAAAUUCCAACUAAGGUUAAGUUCUCUAGUGCUGUAUUUUUUGGGAGGUGGAAAUGCAUAUUUUUGGAAGAUGGCCAAACAACUGAAAUCUUAUUCUAUUUUAAAUGCAUUUUCAUCACUUUUGUGUUCCAAACUUAAGGAAGCCCUUAAAUGGGCAUUGUUGCAUGCAUGUGUAAAUCCUGGUAAUUUAGCUAACCUUGUAAUGUGUGAGUGGAAGACCCUAAUCUAUAUAUUGCUCUUUAACUCCUCAUGUAGUUUGCAAUGUAACUAAUUAGUAACAUGGGCAAACGACCACACCCAAAUUUUGGCCAGUCAGCCAGUCACGUGCAAAGCGUUUCUGGGACUGAUAAAUGCUGCCAGCACAGAUCAGGCAGUUCCACCUGACCUAGCAGGAGGUGCCUUCAGGAGGGUACUUGCAGAGUGGAGUCCUUUCAGCCAGAAGCUGGCCAUUGAAUAAGAGAAAUUUGGAUCAGGGUAGCAAAGACUCCAAUAAAACUCACUUCAUAAUACACUGCUGCAAUUGUUCAUCCAAGAGGUUAAACUGGAAUUUAGAUCCAAUUUGAGUUUCAUUGUGUAAAAAAAGAACAAGUAUAUGAUGUUGGCUGACUUCAAAAGAUAGAAUAUUCCUCUGUAAAAUAUGAGCAAUAAUUGAAAUUUAUAAUAACUUUCUUUUUGUCUUAUGUAGAUAUGAUUCAAUGAAAAUGAAAAAAGAUUUUUAGAACAAUAUAUAAUUCUUCAUACAAUCCAUAAUUAGCUUGUAUCCAGGGAACAUGGAAAUUCACAGUGAAACCAGAUACAGUGUAAAAUGUACAAGAUGCAUUUGCAUAUAACAAAGAUUAUGAGGAGCUGGUGAGAAGUUUUGAACUAAGGCUUCUGUUGCAACUUGAUGAUCAAAUUAUUUUUUGUUUCUUGAUUCACCUGGCUUCACUGUCAUUUUUCCCAGGAGAAAAUAAUUGUGAGCUGGAGUGAAUUCAUGUUGUGAUGCUGCAUUGAACAGAGUUCAUUUUUGCAGAGGUGAAGGUGGAGGCAAAGAAUCUAGACUGUUGAAGAGAGAGGCGUAAAGAGAAGAUUAAAAAGCAAGGAAGCGUAAACAUAAACAUCCGAGUCCUGAGUGUAAUCAGAGCAAAAGUGCAUAGAAAAUCCAGAAAUAACAACAUUUCUAUUCGAAAGGAUGUCACUAUUUUUAUGAUUUCAAGUUGAAGGAUCUGCACGCUUGCAGAAAGCCAGCAUGAGAACUGAAAAUUAUUCUGAUUAAUUCAAAGAGCAGUCCACAAAAGGAACCACAGAAUAACAGAAUGCGUCAUGUUGGCAUGGAAUGCAGUGGUUCCUCUGGUCCAACCUCCCUGGUCAAGCAGCUCAUUCCAGAAUGGCACAGGAUUGUGUCCAGACAGUUCUUGAAUAUAUACAGUGAGGGAGACUCCACAGCCUCUGUGGGCAACCUGUUCCAGUUGUCAAUCACCCACGCAGUAGAUAAGUUGUUCCUCAUGUUCUGGUGGACUUUACUAUGCAUCAGGUUUUGCCUUUUGCCUAUUUUAUUGCUUGGCGCCAUUGAGAAGAACCUGGCUCUAUCCUCUUGACACAAGGCAUAUUUCAAUUUUGGAAAUAUGAAAUUCUGCUCUAGUCAAGAAUGGAUACUGUGUGGGUGGAGGGAAGCAUUAGUAAUUAAAAAAUAAUGCUGAGGAAUUAGAUAAGGAUGCUACAGAGUAUAUGUGUACAUGAACCUCUGUGAAUUACAUUCCCAAAGAGAAGUACAGUAUUAGUGCCACAGUCUAUCAUAUUACCAGAAUGGUAACAAUUACCACAAACUGAUGAAGAAAUUAGUGAGGUCAAAAAUUAUAAUAAUGACAGUCUUCAAUUUUCUGCUAUCAUGCUGUUAAGAUUUCCAGCAUUCAGGAGUGAAUAGCCUAUCUUGAGAUUGUAAAGGCUAUAGGGAAAAUGAGACAAGACUUCUUCAACAGUAACAUUCUAAUUUUUAGAGGAAAAAAAAAUUGAAAGAAUAAGUUUAAAAAAGUUUACAUUGGAUUGGAGACUACAAAAAUAUCAUGCAAUACGCCAAAUGUCAAUAAAUACCCUCUACUUGGGUGACAUUGAGAGCAUUAAAAGCAUUUAAAACCAAAAUAACAUUGCUGUGAUUCCACCACAAAGACAGAUGCUAGAAUACAGAAUAACUUCUAAAAAAAUGUAUUCAUGUCCAAAAGAGGGGGAAAAAAACAAGAUGAAGAAUCUCUAUAAUGCUAAAGGUAUAAUCACAGAAAAGUCCAAAAAUACUAUUAUGAAGCCCUAGAUAAAUGUUCACAGACAUCUUAAUCACAAUGGAAAGAAGCAGCUGACCAGACCAUUAGUGCAACAGACCUGUAAUCACAAGCAGCACUCAACACAAACAUAAAUAAUAUCAGAAAAAGCUAAACUAAUUCUUUGCAUCAGUUUUCACUGAAGAGAAGGUCACAUCAAUUCUCAGCACCACUCUUUAUGAGUGAUUGAUUUGAGGAACUAUCUCAAUUCAAAUAUUA
Molecule: non-coding RNA, 3970 nt
Organism: Cyanistes caeruleus (blue tit)
Lineage: Eukaryota; Metazoa; Chordata; Aves; Passeriformes; Paridae
Source: RefSeq, a predicted model, not a curated record